CCUACGGGAGGCUGCAGUGGGGAAUAUUGGACAAUGGGCGAAAGCCUGAUCCAGCCAUGCCGCGUGUGUGAAGAAGGCCUUCGGGUUGUAAAGCACUUUCAGUGGGGAAGAAAGCCUUGGGGCUAAUACCCUCGAGGAAGGACAUCACCCACAGAAGAAGCACCGGCUAACUCCGUGCCAGCAGCCGCGGUAAUACGGAGGGUGCGGGCGUUAAUCGGAAUUACUGGGGCGAAAGCGCGCGUAGGCGGUCUGAUAAGCCGGUUGUGAAAGCCCCGGGCUCAACCUGGGAACGGCAUCCGGAACUGUCAGGCUAGAGUGCAGGAGAGGAAGGUAGAAUUCCCGGUGUAGCGGUGAAAUGCGUAGAGAUCGGGAGGAAUACCAGUGGCGAAGGCGGCCUUCUGGACUGACACUGACGCUGAGGUGCGAAAGCGUGGGUAGCAAACAGGAUUAGAUACCCCUGUAGUC
RNAcentral lists this ribosomal RNA (465 nucleotides) under Vreelandella stevensii. RNAcentral's name for it is "partial 16S ribosomal RNA". It matches the Rfam family "Bacterial small subunit ribosomal RNA", at positions 338 to 795 of the family's 1533-position model. The record is from RNAcentral. Lineage: Bacteria; Pseudomonadati; Pseudomonadota; Gammaproteobacteria; Oceanospirillales; Halomonadaceae.